GAAAUGCGAUAAGUAAUGUGAAUUGCAGAAUUCAGUGAAUCAUCGAAUCUUUGAACGCACCUUGCGCUCCUUGGUAUUCCUUGGAGCAUGCCUGUUUGAGUAUCAUGAAAUCUUCAAAGUAAAUCUUUUGUUAACUCAAUUGGCUUCUACUUUGGUAUUGGAGGUCUUUGCAGCUUCACACCUGCUCCUCUUUGUUCAUUAGCUGGAUCUCAGUGUUAUGCUUGGUUCCACUCGGCGUGAUAAGUUAUCUAACGCUGAGGACACUGUAAAAGGUGGCCAAGGUAAAUGCAGAUGAACCGCUUCUAAUAGUCCAUUGACUUGGACAAUACUUUUAUGAUCUGAUCUCAAAUCAGGUAGGACUACCCGCUGAACUUAAGC
Molecule: unclassified non-coding RNA, 378 nt
Filed under: plant metagenome
Description: partial contains 5.8S ribosomal RNA, internal transcribed spacer 2, and large subunit ribosomal RNA
Rfam family: 5.8S ribosomal RNA (bases 1-105)
Source: RNAcentral